GAGAGCCGUGAGCGUGGGCCCAUAACUUCGGAACAUGGUACCCGGGCCACCGUUAGAGUUUGGUAUCAGGCUCAGGACGAACGCUGGCGGCGUGCCUAAUACAUGCAAGUCGAGCGGACAGAAGGGAGCUUGCUCCCGGAUGUUAGCGGCGGACGGGUGAGUAACACGUGGGUAACCUGCCUGUAAGACUGGGAUAACUCCGGGAAACCGGAGCUAAUACCGGAUAGUUCCUUGAACCGCAUGGUUCAAGGAUGAAAGACGGUUUCGGCUGUCACUUACAGAUGGACCCGCGGCGCAUUAGCUAGUUGGUGGGGUAAUGGCUCACCAAGGCGACGAUGCGUAGCCGACCUGAGAGGGUGAUCGGCCACACUGGGACUGAGACACGGCCCAGACUCCUACGGGAGGCAGCAGUAGGGAAUCUUCCGCAAUGGACGAAAGUCUGACGGAGCAACGCCGCGUGAGUGAUGAAGGUUUUCGGAUCGUAAAGCUCUGUUGUUAGGGAAGAACAAGUGCGAGAGUAACUGCUCGCACCUUGACGGUACCUAACCAGAAAGCCACGGCUAACUACGUGCCAGCAGCCGCGGUAAUACGUAGGUGGCAAGCGUUGUCCGGAAUUAUUGGGCGUAAAGGGCUCGCAGGCGGUUUCUUAAGUCUGAUGUGAAAGCCCCCGGCUCAACCGGGGAGGGUCAUUGGAAACUGGGAAACUUGAGUGCAGAAGAGGAGAGUGGAAUUCCACGUGUAGCGGUGAAAUGCGUAGAGAUGUGGAGGAACACCAGUGGCGAAGGCGACUCUCUGGUCUGUAACUGACGCUGAGGAGCGAAAGCGUGGGGAGCGAACAGGAUUAGAUACCCUGGUAGUCCACGCCGUAAACGAUGAGUGCUAAGUGUUAGGGGGUUUCCGCCCCUUAGUGCUGCAGCUAACGCAUUAAGCACUCCGCCUGGGGAGUACGGUCGCAAGACUGAAACUCAAAGGAAUUGACGGGGGCCCGCACAAGCGGUGGAGCAUGUGGUUUAAUUCGAAGCAACGCGAAGAACCUUACCAGGUCUUGACAUCCUCUGACAACCCUAGAGAUAGGGCUUUCCCUUCGGGGACAGAGUGACAGGUGGUGCAUGGUUGUCGUCAGCUCGUGUCGUGAGAUGUUGGGUUAAGUCCCGCAACGAGCGCAACCCUUGAUCUUAGUUGCCAGCAUUCAGUUGGGCACUCUAAGGUGACUGCCGGUGACAAACCGGAGGAAGGUGGGGAUGACGUCAAAUCAUCAUGCCCCUUAUGACCUGGGCUACACACGUGCUACAAUGGACAGAACAAAGGGCUGCAAGACCGCAAGGUUUAGCCAAUCCCAUAAAUCUGUUCUCAGUUCGGAUCGCAGUCUGCAACUCGACUGCGUGAAGCUGGAAUCGCUAGUAAUCGCGGAUCAGCAUGCCGCGGUGAAUACGUUCCCGGGCCUUGUACACACCGCCCGUCACACCACGAGAGUUUGCAACACCCGAAGUCGGUGAGGUAACCUUUAUGGAGCCAGCCGCCGAAGGUGGGGCAGAUGAUUGGGGUGAAGUCGUCAAGGGGUAACCAAAAGU
Molecule: ribosomal RNA, 1571 nt
Filed under: Bacillus safensis
Lineage: Bacteria; Bacillati; Bacillota; Bacilli; Caryophanales; Bacillaceae
Description: bacterial SSU rRNA
Rfam family: Bacterial small subunit ribosomal RNA
Source: RNAcentral